This 109-nucleotide transfer RNA is filed under the name Fibroporia radiculosa. It matches the Rfam family "tRNA". Rfam says of the family: Transfer RNA (tRNA) molecules are approximately 80 nucleotides in length. Their secondary structure includes four short double-helical elements and three loops (D, anti-codon, and T loops). Lineage: Eukaryota; Fungi; Basidiomycota; Agaricomycetes; Polyporales; Fibroporiaceae. The record is from Rfam by way of RNAcentral.
GGUCCUGUAGUGUAGCGGUUAGCACAUGAGAUUCUGAUCAGUGGUCAUACACGGCCUUUCAAUUCGAUUCACCAUUCUCAUAACCCAGGUUCGAUUCCUGGCAGGACCU